CGGCGCCUAGUUGUGCACUACGUGUCCCAUCAAUAUCGCUCGAUUUAUACAGCUAUAUCUUCUAAAACUGCGCAUUUUAGGAUUUACUGGACUUUUCAGAUAUAGUUUUGGAAAUGGCACAUUUUUAAAGAGGGUUAAUGAGAGCAGAGACGUAGUUAUCUUAACUAGGUGGUUAGUUAGCUAACUAGUGGCAGCUAGCCUAGCCACAUGGUGUACAUGUCCAGAACUGUCAUGCGACGGGGUUGUUGGGUGGAUAGGUUGCGAUUCUUACGGGCAUGGAUUACACAUUUCCACUAGGUUUUUCCCGGUUUAUUUAAACUCUGGGCCUCCCAGUUCACGGUUCAGACAUAACGUCGCAGGCUGGGGUUCGUUUGGUCAAGUGUUGGAAGAAAACCUAGCUCUACAUGAGAGAGGUGAAAUGAAUUCCAUUGACGUGGCAGAUGGAGCACUUCAUGGGAACACCAUUAACGUGGCAGAUGGAGCACUUCAUGGGAACACCAUUAACGUGGCAGAUGGAGCACUUCAUGGGAACACUGAAGUACACAAAGUAGUUUGCAGAAGUUCCGUCAGGAGGACAGAUGGUGUGACCCCCAGGUUGAUGGUGUAUGCUGACCGGACAGGUGUGGCGCUCACUAAUAUCAGGACCAAAGACUUGUAGCCACACACAGUUUCACAUCGGCCAAAUCUCUGACUGUUAAGAGUGGAGAGAGUCAUGUGACCUGAGAGACGUCCACACCUUCCACCACACGGGUGGAGACAAACAGAAGAAGGCUCACCGUUGUAUCGACCUAUCAGGCAGCUUCACCUCUCCUGUCAGCUACCAAUCAGACCUGGACAGCGCCUCCCUCUCCGGUUGGUCGUCGGCAGCCAGUCAGAACGCGUGACCACAAGCUGCUACGUCACCAAGUGGAAUGUGUUGUCUGACCCGGGGACACCGAGGGCUACUACACCACAGAAACAGAACAGUAACUUACAGCCUACCUCAGUAGUUCACAGCCCAUUACACCACUGGGGAAUUGUGGUAGUUGUCCGUCCCAGCCCACCAAAACAUCAUAGGGAACUGAGGAGUUCACAGCCCACUACCCCCCCCAUACACAGUACAGGAGUUCCCAGUCCCUUUUUACACCCCAGUAGUUCACAGCUAACUACACCUAACAAUCAGCCCAGUAGUUACCUCUCCCAGCCCACUACACCUCACAAGCGGUGCACUACUUCUGAACCCUACACCGUUAGUUUAUCGCCCUGGACAACAGUAGGUUCUGACUCUACCUCAGCGGCCAUUUUGAGAAGACAUUUACAUUUUUCCAUUUUAGUCAUUUAGCAGACGCUCUUAUCCAGAGCGACUUACAGGCGCA
Molecule: long non-coding RNA, 1355 nt
Organism: Coregonus clupeaformis (lake whitefish)
Lineage: Eukaryota; Metazoa; Chordata; Actinopteri; Salmoniformes; Salmonidae
Exons: 5
Source: RefSeq, a predicted model, not a curated record